Molecule: long non-coding RNA, 256 nt
Filed under: Amborella trichopoda
Lineage: Eukaryota; Viridiplantae; Streptophyta; Magnoliopsida; Amborellales; Amborellaceae
Description: long non-coding RNA (ATRI_LNC004322)
Source: RNAcentral
AAUUAAUUUAGAUGUCUCGUGACUCUGAUGCAAUCAUCCAAUAUUAAAUACAUAAUUAAUUAGUAUAUAUCAAAAAAAAAUUGUACUAUAUAAAUCUACCCAUUACAUACCAAAAACAAAUAUACCAUAUAAAUUUAUCCAUUAAAUACUUUAACUAUGGUAUGGUGACAAAUAUACUAUAUAAAUUUAUUCAUUAAAUACUUAAACAUCACACCUACUUGGCAGGUAUAAAAAAAAAAAACACGAUUUUUUUUUU